Molecule: ribosomal RNA, 409 nt
Filed under: bacterium
Lineage: Bacteria
Description: partial 16S ribosomal RNA
Rfam family: Bacterial small subunit ribosomal RNA
Source: RNAcentral
UGGGGAAUAUUGCACAAUGGGCAAAAGCCUGAUGCAGCGACGCCGCGUGAGGGAUGACGGCCUUCGGGUUGUAAACCUCUUUCAGUAGGGACGAAGCGCAAGUGACGGUACCUGCAGAAGAAGCACCGGCUAACUACGUGCCAGCAGCCGCGGUAAUACGUAGGGUGCGAGCGUUGUCCGGAAUUACUGGGCGUAAAGAGCUCGUAGGCGGUUUGUCACGUCGUCUGUGAAAUCCUAGGGCUUAACCCUGGACGUGCAGGCGAUACGGGCUGACUUGAGUACUACAGGGGAGACUGGAAUUUCUGGUGUAGCGGUGGAAUGCACAGAUAUCAGGAAGAACACCGAUGGCGAAGGCAGGUCUCUGGGUAGUAACUGACGCUGAGGAGCGAAAGCAUGGGUAGCGAACAGG